AGUGAACGCUGGCGGCAGGCCUAACACAUGCAAGUCGAGCGGCAGCGGGCUGUAGCAAUACAGUGCCGGCGAGCGGCGGACGGGUGAGGAAUACAUCGGAAUCUACCUUGUCGUGGGGGAUAACGUAGGGAAACUUACGCUAAUACCGCAUACGAACUACGGUUGAAAGCGGAGGACCGCAAGGCUUCGCGCGAUUGGAUGAGCCGAUGUCGGAUUAGCUAGUUGGCGGGGUAAUGGCCCACCAAGGCGACGAUCCGUAGCUGGUCUGAGAGGAUGAUCAGCCACACUGGAACUGAGACACGGUCCAGACUCCUACGGGAGGCAGCAGUGGGGAAUAUUGGACAAUGGGCGCAAGCCUGAUCCAGCCAUGCCGCGUGUGUGAAGAAGGCCUCGG
Molecule: ribosomal RNA, 394 nt
Filed under: uncultured bacterium
Lineage: Bacteria
Description: bacterial SSU rRNA
Rfam family: Bacterial small subunit ribosomal RNA
Source: RNAcentral